GGCUUAGAAGCAGCCACUCAUUUAAAGAGUGCGUAAUAGCUCACUAGUCGAGUGAUUGUGCGCCGAAAAUGUAACGGGGCUAAAAUUCAUACCGAAGCUUAGGCUUUGCACACUUUGUGUGCGAGGGGUAGAUGAGCGUUGUGUAAGUCUGCGAAGCUACACCGAAAGGAGUAGUGGAGAUAUCACAAGUGAGAAUGCCGGAAUGAGUAGCGAGAAUUAUGUGAGAAUCAUAAUGGUCGAAAAUCUAAGGUUUCUUGAGGAAGGUUCGUCCGCUCAAGGUAAGCCGGGAGCUAAGGCGAGGCCGAGAGGCGUAGUCGAUGCACAUACGGUAAAGAUUCCGUAGCCACCGAAGUCGUUAAAUACAGGGACACAGGAACAUAGCCUAACCCCACCGUUGGUUGAGUGGGGCGUAAGGGAGCGAAAAAUAGUAGCGAAGUAGGUGAUUGUACACUGGCGAGAAAAGCUGUAUGUAUUGAUAAGGUGCCCGUACCGCAAACCGACACAGGUAGAUGAGGAGAGAAUCCUAAGACCAGCGGGAGAAGUGUUGUUAAGGAACUCGGCAAAAUGACCCCGUAACUUCGGGAUAAGGGGAGCCUACGCGAGUAGGCCGCAGAGAAUAGUCUCAAGCGACUGUUUAGCAAAAACACAGGUCUAUGCUAAAUCGAAAGAUGAUGUAUAUGGGCUGACGCCUGCCCGGUGCUGGAAGGUUAAGGGGAAGUGUUAGAGCAAUCGAAGCACUGAACUUAAGCCCCAGUAAACGGCGGCCGUAACUAUAACGGUCCUAAGGUAGCGAAAUUCCUUGUCAGGUAAGUUCUGACCCGCACGAAUGGCGUAACGACUUGAGAGCUGUCUCAACAACAUACCCGGCGAAAUUGAAGUACUGGUAAAGAUGCCAGUUACCCGUGAUAAGACGGAAAGACCCCAUGGAGCUUUACUGUAACUUGAUAUUGAAUUUUUGUAUUACAUGUACAGGAUAGGUGGGAGACAGAGAACUAAUGCCGCCAGGUGUUAGGGAGUCGAUGUUGGGAUACCACUCUUGUAAUAUGAAGGUUCUAACCUGCACCCGUGAAUCCGGGUGGGGGACACUGUCAGGUGGACAGUUUGACUGGGGCGGUCGCCUCCUAAAAGGUAACGGAGGCGUUCAAAGGUUGGUUCAGCACGGACGGAAAUCGUGCAACGAGUGCAAACGCAUAAACCAGCCUAACUGCGAGACCGACAAGUCGAGCAGUAACGAAAGUUGGAGUUAGUGAUCCGGCGGUAUGAGAGUGGAAUUGCCGUCGCUCAACGGAUAAAAGCUACCCUGGGGAUAACAGGCUGAUCUCCCCCAAGAGUCCACAUCGACGGGGAGGUUUGGCACCUCGAUGUCGGCUCAUCGCAUCCUGGAGCUGUAGUCGGUUCCAAGGGUUGGGCUGUUCGCCCAUUAAAGCGGUACGCGAGCUGGGUUCAGAACGU
This 1452-nucleotide ribosomal RNA is filed under the name human gut metagenome. RNAcentral describes it as "bacterial LSU rRNA". It matches the Rfam family "Bacterial large subunit ribosomal RNA", at positions 1103 to 2619 of the family's 2925-position model. The record is from RNAcentral.